RNAcentral lists this ribosomal RNA (433 nucleotides) under uncultured bacterium. Its description in RNAcentral is "partial 16S ribosomal RNA". It matches the Rfam family "Bacterial small subunit ribosomal RNA", at positions 29 to 507 of the family's 1533-position model. The record is from RNAcentral.
AACGAACGCUGGCGGCAUGCCUAACACAUGCAAGUCGAACGAGACCUUCGGGUCUAGUGGCGCACGGGUGCGUAACGCGUGGGAACCUGCCCUUAGGUUCGGAAUAACUCCCCGAAAGGGGCGCUAAUACCGGAUAAUGUCUUCGGACCAAAGAUUUAUCGCCUUUGGAUGGGCCCGCGUUGGAUUAGCCAGUUGGUAGGGUAAAAGCCUACCAAGGCGACGAUCCAUAGCUGGUCUGAGAGGAUGAUCAGCCACACUGGGACUGAGACACGGCCCAGACUCCUACGGGAGGCAGCAGUGGGGAAUAUUGGACAAUGGGCGAAAGCCUGAUCCAGCAAUGCCGCGUGAGUGAUGAAGGCCUUAGGGUUGUAAAGCUCUUUUACCCGGGAUGAUAAUGACAGUACCGGGAGAAUAAGCUCCGGCUAACUCCGUG